RNAcentral lists this ribosomal RNA (253 nucleotides) under uncultured bacterium. RNAcentral describes it as "partial 16S ribosomal RNA". It matches the Rfam family "Bacterial small subunit ribosomal RNA", at positions 524 to 776 of the family's 1533-position model. The record is from RNAcentral.
UACGUAGGGGGCAAGCGUUGUCCGGAUUUAUUGGGCGUAAAGAGCGUGUAGGCGGCUAGGUAGGUCCGUUGUGAAAACUCGAGGCUCAACCUCGAGACGUCGAUGGAAACCAUCUGGCUAGAGUCCGGAAGAGGAGAGUGGAAUUCCUGGUGUAGCGGUGAAAUGCGCAGAUAUCAGGAGGAACACCGGUGGCGAAGGCGGGUCUCUGGGCCGAUACUGACGCUGAGGAGCGAAAGCGUGGGGAGCGAACAGG